UGGGGAAUCUUGCACAAUGGAGGAAACUCUGAUGCAGCGACGCCGCGUGAGCGAAGAAGCCUUUCGGGGUGUAAAGCUCUUACGCCAGGGACGAUAAUGACGGUACCUGGAGAAGCAGCUGCGGCUAACUACGUGCCAGCAGCCGCGGUAAUACGUAGGCAGCAAGCGUUGUUCGGAAUUACUGGGCGUAAAGGGUGCGUAGGCGGCGCUCUAAGUUUGGUGCGAAAUCUCCCGGCUUAACUGGGAGGGUGCACUGAAAACUGGGGCGCUCGAGUAUGGGAGAGGAAAGCGGAAUUCCUGGUGUAGCGGUGAAAUGCGUAGAGAUCAGGAGGAACACCUGCGGUGCAGACGGCUUUCUGGACCAUCACUGACGCUGAGGCACGAAAGCGUGGGUAGCAAACA
Molecule: ribosomal RNA, 402 nt
Filed under: uncultured bacterium
Lineage: Bacteria
Description: bacterial SSU rRNA
Rfam family: Bacterial small subunit ribosomal RNA
Source: RNAcentral